AAGACUAUAGACCUGCGGAGUACCUGCGGAAGGAUCAUUAAAAAAACUUUGCCCGCGGACCCUGGGUCCAAGGCGCAAAACCCACACUAUGUGCACUGUUAUCGUUCUUUUGGCAGGGGCUUGGGGUGUCUUCCAACUUGGGGAACCUCAACUUCUCGUCUAGCUCUAUCCACCUCGGACAGCUGGACAUGAGAAGCAGUUACUCUGCCAAGUGACCCUUAAAAACACGCUUUUUUGUCU
This 240-nucleotide unclassified non-coding RNA is filed under the name soil metagenome. Its description in RNAcentral is "partial contains 5.8S ribosomal RNA, internal transcribed spacer 2, and large subunit ribosomal RNA". The record is from RNAcentral.